Molecule: long non-coding RNA, 256 nt
Filed under: Mytilus galloprovincialis (Mediterranean mussel)
Lineage: Eukaryota; Metazoa; Mollusca; Bivalvia; Mytilida; Mytilidae
Source: RNAcentral
GUCGAAAGGCGGUUAGAGAGCACUAGGGUCAAUCAUAUCCAAAAUUCAUAACAAUAAAGACUUCGGAUGUAAUGCCUUCGAAAAACUGUAUUACUCGUGUGUAGUUCAUAUCUUAGAUUAUGCCUCAAGUGUUUAGGGAUACAGAAAAUUUCAAAUAAUAUACAAUAUUCAAAUCCGUACAAUACGAUAUUUUCUUGGUGUUCAUCGUUUUGCGCCUACUCUCGCUCUACAUGGAAAUGUUUGAUGGAUCCCAAGC